This 212-nucleotide long non-coding RNA is filed under the name Homo sapiens (human). RNAcentral's name for it is "HSALNT0116603". The record is from RNAcentral. Lineage: Eukaryota; Metazoa; Chordata; Mammalia; Primates; Hominidae.
UACGUGGUUACUGCUGAUGUGUAAAGCGUAUCAACUCUGAGAGAGCGAAUUUGUAGAGCCCUAAUUCUGCAGCGAAGGCAAGUCUGUGAUUUUGAAAAUGGGGAAGAUUGGAAUCUGCCCUCUUCAGACUUAAAACAGGGGAUCUUAAUCAGGCUCCUCUUUCCUGGUGGAUGGAGGUGGGGAAAGGCACGAUUCUAUAGACCAAGCCUGGC